UACGUAGGGGGCAAGCGUUGUCCGGAAUUAUUGGGCGUAAAGAGCGUGUAGGCGGCCAGGUAGGUCCGAUGUGAAAACUGGAGGCUCAACCUCCAGCUGUCAUUGGAAACCAUCUGGCUAGAGUCCGGAAGAGGAGAGUGGAAUUCCUGGUGUAGCGGUGAAAUGCGCAGAUAUCAGGAAGAACACCGAUGGCGAAGGCAGCUCUCUGGGACGGUACUGACGCUGAGACGCGAAAGCGUGGGGAGCGAACAGG
RNAcentral lists this ribosomal RNA (253 nucleotides) under uncultured bacterium. RNAcentral's name for it is "partial 16S ribosomal RNA". It matches the Rfam family "Bacterial small subunit ribosomal RNA", at positions 524 to 776 of the family's 1533-position model. The record is from RNAcentral.